This 468-nucleotide ribosomal RNA is filed under the name uncultured bacterium. Its description in RNAcentral is "SSU rRNA". It matches the Rfam family "Bacterial small subunit ribosomal RNA", at positions 26 to 518 of the family's 1533-position model. The record is from RNAcentral.
AGGAUGAACGCUGGCGGCGUGCCUAACACAUGCAAGUCGAACGUCCUGUCUCGCAAGAGGCAGGGAGUGGCGGACGGGUGAGUACCACGUGGGUCAUCUACCGUGAGGUGAGGAAUACCGGCGAGAAAUCGCCGACAAGACCGCAUAGGCUCGAUGCAAGUCGAGCAAAGCUCUUUCGAGAGAGGGAGCGCCACACGAGGAGCCUGCGCCCGAUUAGCUAGCUGGUGGAGUAACGGUUCACCAGGGCGACGAUCGGUAGCUGGUCUGAGAGGACGAUCAGCCACACUGGGAUUGAGAACGGCCCAGACUCCUACGGGGGCAGCAGUGAGGAAUUUUCGUCAAUGGGGGCAACCCUGAACGAGCAACGCCGCGUGCAGGAAGAAGGUUUCGGAUCGUAAACUGCUUUUCUCGGGAAGAGAACGGACGGUACCGAGGAAUCAGCCCGGCUAACUACGUGCCAGCAGCCGC